AUUGAACGCUGGCGGAAUGCUUUACACAUGCAAGUCGAACGGUAACAGGUCUUCGGAUGCUGACGAGUGGCGAACGGGUGAGUAAUAUAUCGGAACGUGCCCAGUCGUGGGGGAUAACGUAGCGAAAGUUACGCUAAUACCGCAUACGAUCUAUGGAUGAAAGCGGGGGAUCGCAAGACCUCGCGCGAUUGGAGCGGCCGAUAUCAGAUUAGGUAGUUGGUGGGGUAAAGGCUCACCAAGCCAACGAUCUGUAGCUGGUCUGAGAGGACGACCAGCCACACUGGAACUGAGACACGGUCCAGACUCCUACGGGAGGCAGCAGUGGGGAAUUUUGGACAAUGGACGCAAGUCUGAUCCAGCCAUUCCGCGUGCAGGAUGAAGGCCCUCGGGUUGUAAACUGCUUUUGUACGGAACGAAAAGGUCUCUCCUAAUACGAGGGGCUCAUGACGGUACCGUAAGAAUAAGCACCGGCUAACUACGUG
RNAcentral lists this ribosomal RNA (482 nucleotides) under uncultured bacterium. RNAcentral's name for it is "bacterial SSU rRNA". It matches the Rfam family "Bacterial small subunit ribosomal RNA", at positions 30 to 507 of the family's 1533-position model. The record is from RNAcentral.